Molecule: RNA transcript, 2097 nt
Organism: Melospiza georgiana
Lineage: Eukaryota; Metazoa; Chordata; Aves; Passeriformes; Passerellidae
Gene: SLC35D2
Gene name: solute carrier family 35 member D2
Exons: 12
Source: RefSeq, a predicted model, not a curated record
CUCGUCGCCGCCAUGAGCGCCGGGCAGGCCGCGGGGGAGGAGGCGGACGCCGCCGCCGCCGCUUCCCCAACACUUCCCAGGGUGCUCUCGGCGCUCUUCUACGGGACGUGCUCUUUCCUCACCGUGCUGGUCAACAAGGCGCUCCUCAGCGCCUACAGCUUCCCAUCACCAAUGUUUCUUGGAAUUGGACAGAUGGCAGCCACUAUACUUAUCUUGUAUGUGUCAAAACUAAAUAAGAUUGUUCACUUCCCUGAUUUUGACAAAAGUAUACCUGUGAAGUUAUUUCCUCUGCCUCUGAUUUAUGUUGGAAACCACUUAAGUGGAUUAUCAAGUACCAGCAAACUCAGUUUGCCGAUGUUUACAGUGCUCAGGAAGUUUACCAUUCCACUUACUUUACUGCUGGAAAUCAUCAUACUUGGGAAACGGUACCCACUGAAUAUUAUAGUCAGCGUAUUUGCCAUCAUUCUUGGGGCUUUCAUAGCUGCUGGGUCUGAUCUGUCUUUCAAUCUGGAGGGCUAUAUCUUUGUGUUGCUAAAUGAUAUCUUCACAGCAGCAAAUGGAGUUUAUACAAAGCAGAAAAUUGAUCCAAAGGAGUUGGGAAAAUAUGGUGUCCUGUUUUAUAAUGCUUGUUUCAUGGUGAUUCCAACAGUUAUUAUUAGCUUUUCUACUGGAGAUUUUCAGCAGGUUUCUCUUGAUGUAUUCUACUGUCCUGUGCAGUCAUUACAAUUCUGCACUCACAACAACAGUAGUUGGUGCAAUCAAGAAUAUAUCCAUUGCUUACAUCGGAAUGUUGAUUGGUGGAGAUUACAUAUUCUCCAUGUUAAACUUUGUAGGGCUAAAUAUUUGAGGCAGAAUAUCUGGGUCACCUGGAGAGAAAACCUUUUGAUGAAUAAAGAUGUGCAUGCUAGGAAGUGGAGAAGAAAGAAACCUAGAGAGGAGCUGUCUAGGGAAAGGAAUGUGAGAUUUACAGGAGAAGUGUCCCUGGUGGCAAAAGAAGCUUGGAGAAAUGUCUGCAAGGUGUGGGUUCUGGACAUAUCCUCCAGUGAGACAACCAAAGGAGGGCAGCUGCAGACUGAAAGACUAGGAAUAUGUCACAGCUGAGGUACUAGAACAAAGACCAAGGAGAGCAAAAGAUGUCCAUGAAGAUGGAAAUCAGCUUGUGAGGCAAAUGUCUAAUUCCCAAAGCCAAGUGGAAAGAGUUUCUGUAGAGGGGAAAUUGAGAAAGCAGCGACAGGGUGUUUAUUACCUCUCCAGCGAAGCGGUGCGGACGGAGCACAGCCGCUUGAAGGAUUUGAGAUUCUUCCCUUGAUCUGGGCAUGGCUGCCUGCCUCUCCCUGGGAACAGCUGCUGUGUGGAGCAUCACUCAUCCUCUUUCUUGCAGGACUGCUCUUUGUCCCUGGUACUCAAAAGCUGUGCUGCUGAACCUGGCCUUGAGCAAUGUGAAAGUGUGCCACGUAAUUUGAUGUGAGGUGACACAUCAGGUCAGCUCCUCUGGGGAUGAGGUGUUGCCCCCAGUUCCACCAAUCAUCAGGUUAUCUAGCAGCCAGCUACCUGGCCAAAGAAGCACAGCCCGUGUACACAAAAGUGGAAUUCAGCUAAUUUCACCUCCAGAAGCUACUUUCUAUGUUGAAUGUGGCAACAUAAUUCAGGAGGCAAGCAGAGUUCCUCUAGGGGCUGGUAAGCUGCCUUUGCCCUGCUGGGGUGACUUCCCAAUGUUCCAGCAGCACCCUGUGGAGCAUCCACGUAGGGAAAGCUACACCUAAGCUUGGAGGUAGAGUUACACUGGGAUGACCCCAAGCACUCUCAGGGCCAUAUUAGUCCUUUUCCUCUUCUGGAGGCGCUGGACAUUUUAGCAUUCGUGUAAAUAAAGUAUGUGUGAAACAUGUGUUGUAUCUUUCCACACAGACACACAUGCAUGACACAAAUGCUCUGAGGCUAUCGGGUCGUUUAUAAUGCUCUUUGGUUUUUAUUACCAAGUAGACACAAUAUUUUUCAUGUACACAACUUGCAUAUUCACUAUUAUUUUCAGCUGUUUUAAAGUAAUAAAUAUUCUCAUGCACCUGGACAUAGUGGUGCUGCAAUUCUUAUACAUUUGCG